RNAcentral lists this ribosomal RNA (253 nucleotides) under uncultured bacterium. RNAcentral's name for it is "partial 16S ribosomal RNA". It matches the Rfam family "Bacterial small subunit ribosomal RNA", at positions 524 to 776 of the family's 1533-position model. The record is from RNAcentral.
UACAGAGGGGGCAAGCGUUAUUCGGAAUUAUUGGGCGUAAAGGGCGCGUAGGCGGCUUUGCAAGUGGCGGGUGAAAUCCCUCGGCUUAACCGAGGAACUGCCUGCCAGACUGUGAGGCUUGAGACCGGGAGAGGUGAGUGGAAUUCCCAGUGUAGCGGUGAAAUGCGUAGAUAUUGGGAGGAACACCAGUGGCGAAGGCGGCUCACUGGACCGGAACUGACGCUGAUGCGCGAAAGCGUGGGGAGCAAACAGG